CGGGCGGGGUUGCUAUACAUGCAAGUCGUACGCACUGGCCCAACUGAUUGAUGGUGCUUGCACCUGAUUGACGAUGGAUCACCAGUGAGUGGCGGACGGGUGAGUAACACGUAGGUAACCUGCCCCGGAGCGGGGGAUAACAUUUGGAAACAGAUGCUAAUACCGCAUAACAACAAAAGCCACAUGGCUUUUGUUUGAAAGAUGGCUUUGGCUAUCACUCUGGGAUGGACCUGCGGUGCAUUAGCUAGUUGGUAAGGUAACGGCUUACCAAGGCGAUGAUGCAUAGCCGAGUUGAGAGACUGAUCGGCCACAAUGGAACUGAGACACGGUCCAUACUCCUACGGGAGGCAGCAGUAGGGAAUCUUCCACAAUGGGCGCAAGCCUGAUGGAGCAACACCGCGUGAGUGAAGAAGGGUUUCGGCUCGUAAAGCUCUGUUGUUGGAGAAGAACGUGCGUGAGAGUAACUGUUCACGCAGUGACGGUAUCCAACCAGAAAGUCACGGCUAACUACGUGCCAGCAGCCGCGGUAAUACGUAGGUGGCAAGCGUUAUCCGGAUUUAUUGGGCGUAAAGCGAGCGCAGGCGGUUGCUUAGGUCUGAUGUGAAAGCCUUCGGCUUAACCGAAGAAGUGCAUCGGAAACCGGGCGACUUGAGUGCAGAAGAGGACAGUGGAACUCCAUGUGUAGCGGUGGAAUGCGUAGAUAUAUGGAAGAACACCAGUGGCGAAGGCGGCUGUCUGGUCUGCAACUGACGCUGAGGCUCGAAAGCAUGGGUAGCGAACAGGAUUAGAUACCCUGGUAGUCCAUGCCGUAAACGAUGAGUGCUAGGUGUUGGAGGGUUUCCGCCCUUCAGUGCCCGGAGCUAACGCAUUAAGCACUCCGCCUGGGGAGUACGACCGCAAGGUUGAAACUCAAAGGAAUUGACGGGGCCCGCACAAGCGGUGGAGCAUGUGGUUUAAUUCGAAGCUACGCGAAGAACCUUACCAGGUCUUGACAUCUUGCGCUAACCUUAGAGAUAAGGCGUUCCCUUCGGGGACGCAAUGACAGGUGGUGCAUGGUCGUCGUCAGCUCGUGUCGUGAGAUGUUGGGUUAAGUCCCGCAACGAGCGCAACCCUUGUUACUAGUUGCCAGCAUUAAGUUGGGCACUCUAGUGAGACUGCCGGUGACAAACCGGAGGAAGGUGGGGACGACGUCAGAUCAUCAUGCCCCUUAUGACCUGGGCUACACACGUGCUACAAUGGACGGUACAACGAGUCGCAAGCUCGCGAGAGUAAGCUAAUCUCUUAAAGCCGUUCUCAGUUCGGACUGUAGGCUGCAACUCGCCUACACGAAGUCGGAAUCGCUAGUAAUCGCGGAUCAGCAUGCCGCGGUGAAUACGUUCCCGGGCCUUGUACACACCGCCCGUCACACCAUGGGAGUUUGUAACGCCCAAAGUCGGUGGCCUAACCUUUAUGGAGAGCCGCCUAAGUCGAUCA
Molecule: ribosomal RNA, 1473 nt
Filed under: Limosilactobacillus reuteri
Lineage: Bacteria; Bacillati; Bacillota; Bacilli; Lactobacillales; Lactobacillaceae
Description: bacterial SSU rRNA
Rfam family: Bacterial small subunit ribosomal RNA
Source: RNAcentral